GAGUCGGGAAUGUUAGUCGCUUUGGUCGCCUGGGAACAGGAGCUUCCUCACUCCUGUGUUCCACGUCGGCAGGGAGUGUCCGUGGCAACGCACAAAGGAGGCCUCUCCACGCCUUCCUGACGACGGUCCUUGGGUUUGCAAGAGGGUGGCAGGAGCCGUGGCAGGUGUUCCUGUUCAGUCAUCACAAUCACAUCGCCAACAGUGGCUGCAGGAGUCUGGAGGAUGGAAAUAGAGGUUGCUUGGGGCGAUGGCUCAAGAUGCAGUGAGCAGAACCACGGGAAAGCUGGCUGAGUGGAAGUUCUACAACUAGAAGGAAAGAGAAAAGAGCAUUGAGACGUGCACAAGUGCUGAAAAGCUGAGGAUGACGCUCCAAUCAACGGAGCCACCUGGCCAGAGCAUCCAUUGAAUUUUUUUCAAGUGUUAUAGCCACAUACAGUCCACCAAACCACCGCUGACUUCCUGUCGCAAAUACCUGAAAACCCUCGGGUCUGGAAUGAUGGGCACAUUACAUCCAAUGGACAGACAUCAAAAUACACACAAGCCUUUGAAAACACCAGGGGCCCCCUGAGAAAGCACAGCAUCCUGACUGCCACAAUGUCAAGCUGCCCAUUAUCACGUGGUCGCUAUUUUACGAAGCAGGUAGCCCUGGACU
Long non-coding RNA from Eptesicus fuscus (big brown bat), 652 nucleotides. RefSeq lists it as uncharacterized. Lineage: Eukaryota; Metazoa; Chordata; Mammalia; Chiroptera; Vespertilionidae. The record is from RefSeq and is a predicted model, not a curated record. The transcript has 5 exons.